GCCUCGGUGGCGGAAUUGGCAGACGCAGCGGAUUUAAAAUCCGCGGUAGCAAUACGUUGUGGGUUCGACUCCCACCCGGGGCA
This 83-nucleotide transfer RNA is filed under the name Planctomycetota bacterium. RNAcentral's name for it is "Planctomycetes bacterium (activated sludge metagenome) tRNA-Leu". It matches the Rfam family "tRNA". Rfam says of the family: Transfer RNA (tRNA) molecules are approximately 80 nucleotides in length. Their secondary structure includes four short double-helical elements and three loops (D, anti-codon, and T loops). The record is from RNAcentral. Lineage: Bacteria; Pseudomonadati; Planctomycetota.